GAAGACGCUGGAAAGGCAGACAGGCACAGGGGUCCAGGCGGCAGGAGCGAUGCAAUAGAUAGAAUCCACGCUGGAGGGAGAGGUAGUGAUCCGGCUGGCCGGAGGGGUUCUCCCAAGCCGCGGAGGGCGAGAGGGGAAGCCGGGGAAUCCGUCAGGUUCCGGGAAAGCAGGCUGGGACGAGACUGAAACACGAAAAAAGGAGACCGACUGGAGUAAGUAAAACCGAGUUUAUUUGACAACCAUCCAACAGAGAGUGGAGCAACCCGACAGGACUUCAACAGCGUCCUCUCCCUCUCUCCUACCCUAGAUCCCUCUCCAGAGACACGGAGUGGGCUUGAGGUUGUUGCGACACAAAGGAAGAUGGAAGACAUUGGGGUGAAAGGAGAGUUAGCUUGGUAGACCCAGUAAGGAAAUAAAGCAAGAGCCACAAAUAGCAAAAGAGAGAAGGAUUGGAUUUGUUAUUUUCCCUUCCCUUCCCUGCCCAGUAACCCGUGGGACUGGAACUCACCCCAGCAUCGCAACCCUAGAGACUCUAAAGUCAUUGACUGCAAGGGGCUAGGAAAUAAAGUGAAUGACUGUCCAUCUUUUGAUCCAUA
Long non-coding RNA from Gasterosteus aculeatus aculeatus (three-spined stickleback), 596 nucleotides. The record is from Ensembl. NCBI's taxonomy places the organism in Eukaryota, Metazoa, Chordata, Actinopteri, Perciformes, Gasterosteidae.